Non-coding RNA from Peromyscus maniculatus bairdii (prairie deer mouse), 543 nucleotides. The record is from RefSeq and is a predicted model, not a curated record. NCBI's taxonomy places the organism in Eukaryota, Metazoa, Chordata, Mammalia, Rodentia, Cricetidae.
UCUGGACUACAAUUCCCAAAAUGCCCCGGGAGCGGGCGCACCUCCGGACGCGGUCUCCGCAGCCUGGAGGUGGUAGUGGGGUGGUGCAGAAGUGGGGCUUCGAGUAUUUAAACACACCCGGUCAUGACGCUGGAGACUAGUUUCCCAGCUGCAUGUCCCACUCUCUGGAGCUAUUUUAUCUGGCUUGGCCUCGUGGACCGAGGCACUCUGGGAAUUGUGGUUUCAAACAGGUCUGGAUUGACACCUGAAGGACGCGGCUUAACUGCCUCGCCCCCAGUUGUGCUUGGGAGUUCCCCGACGUCAUGGGAGCAGAGAGCACGCGACUCACGGGACAACUGUUCUGAGACUGGAUUGGACAGCAGGGAUGACAGAACCCCAAAGUCAUGAAUAAACUCCUACCCCUGGUCUCACUGCUGCUGCUGCUGCUGCCGCCGCCGCCGCCGCCGCCGCCGCCGCAUUUCCCUCCAUCUGCUGGAUGGCGGCCCAGGUUCGCCCAGGUUCGAACCUGACAAUAAAAAGACCCUUAUGUGCUUGCAUCAAAAA